RNAcentral lists this ribosomal RNA (580 nucleotides) under Alternaria tenuissima. RNAcentral's name for it is "eukaryotic LSU rRNA". The stretch from base 218 to 371 matches the Rfam family "5.8S ribosomal RNA". RNAcentral also lists the same sequence under 1 other name. Lineage: Eukaryota; Fungi; Ascomycota; Dothideomycetes; Pleosporales; Pleosporaceae. The record is from RNAcentral.
AAGUAAAAGUCGUAACAAGGUCUCCGUAGGUGAACCUGCGGAGGGAUCAUUACACAAAUAUGAAGGCGGGCUGGAACCUCUCGGGGUUACAGCCUUGCUGAAUUAUUCACCCUUGUCUUUUGCGUACUUCUUGUUUCCUUGGUGGGUUCGCCCACCACUAGGACAAACAUAAACCUUUUGUAAUUGCAAUCAGCGUCAGUAACAAAUUAAUAAUUACAACUUUCAACAACGGAUCUCUUGGUUCUGGCAUCGAUGAAGAACGCAGCGAAAUGCGAUAAGUAGUGUGAAUUGCAGAAUUCAGUGAAUCAUCGAAUCUUUGAACGCACAUUGCGCCCUUUGGUAUUCCAAAGGGCAUGCCUGUUCGAGCGUCAUUUGUACCCUCAAGCUUUGCUUGGUGUUGGGCGUCUUGUCUCUAGCUUUGCUGGAGACUCGCCUUAAAGUAAUUGGCAGCCGGCCUACUGGUUUCGGAGCGCAGCACAAGUCGCACUCUCUAUCAGCAAAGGUCUAGCAUCCAUUAAGCCUUUUUUUCAACUUUUGACCUCGGAUCAGGUAGGGAUACCCGCUGAACUUAAGCAUAUCA